Molecule: ribosomal RNA, 492 nt
Filed under: uncultured bacterium
Lineage: Bacteria
Description: partial 16S ribosomal RNA
Rfam family: Bacterial small subunit ribosomal RNA
Source: RNAcentral
AGUGAACGCUGGCGGUAGGCCUAACACAUGCAAGUCGAACGGCAGCACAGUAAGAGCUUGCUCUUACGGGUGGCGAGUGGCGGACGGGUGAGGAAUACAUCGGAAUCUACUUUUUCGUGGGGGAUAACGUAGGGAAACUUACGCUAAUACCGCAUACGACCUACGGGUGAAAGCAGGGGAUCUUCGGACCUUGCGCGAUUGAAUGAGCCGAUGUCGGAUUAGCUAGUUGGCGGGGUAAAGGCCCACCAAGGCGACGAUCCGUAGCUGGUCUGAGAGGAUGAUCCGCCACACUGGAACUGAGACACGGUCCAGACUCCUACGGGAGGCAGCAGUGGGGAAUAUUGGACAAUGGGCGCAAGCCUGAUCCAGCCAUACCGCGUGGGUGAAGAAGGCCUUCGGGUUGUAAAGCCCUGUUGUUGGGAAAGAAAAGCAGCAGGUUAAUACCCCGCUGUUCUGACGGUACCCAAAGAAUAAGCACCGGCUAACUUCGUG